GCUGAAUUAGCUCAGUUGGUAGAGCAACGGCCUUGUAAACCGUAGGUCAUCUGUUCGAAUCAGAUAUUCAGCACCA
This 76-nucleotide transfer RNA is filed under the name Burkholderia territorii. RNAcentral's name for it is "tRNA-Thr". It matches the Rfam family "tRNA". Rfam says of the family: Transfer RNA (tRNA) molecules are approximately 80 nucleotides in length. Lineage: Bacteria; Pseudomonadati; Pseudomonadota; Betaproteobacteria; Burkholderiales; Burkholderiaceae. The record is from RNAcentral.